AGAAUCAACGCUGGCGGCGUGCCUAACACAUGCAAGUCGAACGAGAAAGUGGAGCAAUCCAUGAGUAAAGUGGCGACCGGGUGAGUAACACGUGACUAACCUACCUUCGAGUGGGGGAUAACCUCGGGAAAACCGAGGCUAAUACCGCAUAACAUCGCAAGAUCAAAGCAGCAAUGCGCUGGAAGAGGGGGUCGCGGCUGAUUAGCUAGUUGGCGGGGUAAUGGCCCACCAAGGCGAAGAUCGGUAGCCGGCCUGAGAGGGCGCACGGCCACACUGGAACUGAAACACGGUCCAGACUCCUACGGGAGGCAGCAGUGGGGAAUUUUGCGCAAUGGGGGAAACCCUGACGCAGCAACGCCGCGUGGAGGAUGAAGCCCCUUGGGGUGUAAACUCCUUUCGACCAAGACGAUAAUGACGGUACUGGUGAAGAAGCACCGGCUAACUCUGUGCCAGCAGCCGC
Molecule: ribosomal RNA, 460 nt
Filed under: uncultured bacterium
Lineage: Bacteria
Description: SSU rRNA
Rfam family: Bacterial small subunit ribosomal RNA
Source: RNAcentral